This is a long non-coding RNA of Helianthus annuus (common sunflower), 418 nucleotides long. RefSeq lists it as uncharacterized. The transcript has 3 exons. The record is from RefSeq and is a predicted model, not a curated record. Lineage: Eukaryota; Viridiplantae; Streptophyta; Magnoliopsida; Asterales; Asteraceae.
AGGUUAAUGACCCACUAAUCUUGUCCAAAGCCCAACCCAUUGAAACCCUAAUCCCUUCCCUAUAUAAUGAACACUUCCCCAUCCUUUAUCCCACUUUUACAAGCCUCCAAACACUUCAAAAAUCCUCCCAAACUCAGCUGAGUUUCAGCAAUAUUUCAGAAAGUUCCAGCCAUAAAAAAAGGACUUGGUGUUUCAUCCUCCAACAACCAACAAACUCCUCACGGAUUAACAAGUGGAAGCUUGCAAAAGCGUUGAUGAUGUUGAAUACGAUGAAAUCUAGUAGGGACGACACUAGAAACGCACUUGAAAUUACUAGAAUUUGUACUUAAAUUGUUGAACUUGUUGUUUUGUUUUUGAUGUUGUAUUUGAUUUUCAUGUUGUACUUGACAAUUUUAUUAUGAUAUGAAAUUAAUUUUGA